UACGAAGGAGUUUUUGUAAACCCCUUGGUUAAAACUCUCCUCAUGAACGUGUACACGUUCAACAAUCCUUUCAGCGCCGAGAUAGGUCACGUAGUAUUGAGCUGCUUCGCGGGCAUUUGGAUGUGUCCUACCUUUUAUGUCCUCGACCCAACCAACCAAUCAGAAGAUUAUAAUAAUGGCAAAUUUUCCAGCUUUUUACACUCAAAACGUAAUGUAGCCAAUUGCCACAUCUUUUUCCUCACAGAAAUCCAAGUAUAUUUUGGAAUUUCCCAAAAAAUAAGACUCAAUCAAUCAUCUAAUAUAAGCAGAGCCUAG
Molecule: non-coding RNA, 315 nt
Organism: Vicia faba (fava bean)
Lineage: Eukaryota; Viridiplantae; Streptophyta; Magnoliopsida; Fabales; Fabaceae
Source: the annotation of a GenBank genome assembly